GCUUACGGCCACACCACCCUGAGCGCGCCCGAUCUCGUCUGAUCUCGGAAGCUAAGCAGGGUCGGGCCUGGUUAGUACUUGGAUGGGAGACCGCCUGGGAAUACCAGGUGCCGUAAGCU
This is a ribosomal RNA of Lates calcarifer (barramundi perch), 119 nucleotides long. The record is from Ensembl. NCBI's taxonomy places the organism in Eukaryota, Metazoa, Chordata, Actinopteri, Centropomidae.